AAGCGGUGGAGCAUGUGGUUAAUCGACGCUACGCGAAGAACCUUACCUGGGCUUGAACUGCUGGAGGUAGGAGCCCGAAAGGGUGACGACCCGGAGCAAUCCGGGAACCAGCAGAGGUGCUGCAUGGCUGUCGUCAGCUCGUGUCGUGAGAUGUUGGGUUAAGUCCCGCAACGAGCGCAACCCUUGCCCUUAGUGCCAGCGGGUAAUGCCGGGCACUCUAAGGGGACUGCCCGGAUAACGGGGAGGAAGGCGGGAUGACGUCAAGUCAGCAUGGCCUUUAUGUCCAGGGCUACACACGUGCUACAAUGGGCGGUACAGAGGGAAGCAAAGCCGCGAGGUGGAGCUAAUCCUUAAAGCCGUCCUCAGUUCGGAUCGCAGGCUGCAACUCGCCUGCGUGAAGUCGGAAUCGCUAGUAAUCGCGGAUCAGCUACGCCGCGGUGAAUACGUUCUCGGGCCUU
This 458-nucleotide ribosomal RNA is filed under the name uncultured Aminicenantes bacterium. Its description in RNAcentral is "bacterial SSU rRNA". It matches the Rfam family "Bacterial small subunit ribosomal RNA", at positions 927 to 1382 of the family's 1533-position model. The record is from RNAcentral. Lineage: Bacteria; Candidatus Aminicenantota.